This 90-nucleotide transfer RNA is filed under the name Acidimicrobiaceae bacterium. RNAcentral's name for it is "tRNA-Ser". It matches the Rfam family "tRNA". From Rfam's summary of the family: Transfer RNA (tRNA) molecules are approximately 80 nucleotides in length. Their secondary structure includes four short double-helical elements and three loops (D, anti-codon, and T loops). RNAcentral also lists the same sequence under 1 other name. The record is from RNAcentral. Lineage: Bacteria; Bacillati; Actinomycetota; Acidimicrobiia; Acidimicrobiales; Acidimicrobiaceae.
GGAAGGUUGCCUGAGCGGCCGAAAGGGAUGCCUUGGAAAGGCAUUGUGGCUUCAUUGUCACCAUGGGUUCGAAUCCCAUACCUUCCUCCG